AUUGAACGCUGGCGGCAUGCCUUACACAUGCAAGUCGAACGGUAACGCGGGGCAACCUGGCGACGAGUGGCGAACGGGUGAGUAAUGCAUUGGAACGUGCCCAGUAGUGGGGGGAUAGCCCGGCGAAAGCCGGAUUAAUACCGCAUACGACCUACGGGUGAAAGCGGGGGACUCGCAAGAGCCUCGCGCUAUUGGAGCGGCCGAUGUCAGAUUAGCUAGUUGGUGAGGUAAAGGCUUACCAAGGCGACGAUCUGUAGCGGGUCUGAGAGGAUGAUCCGCCACACUGGAACUGAGACACGGUCCAGACUCCUACGGGAGGCAGCAGUGGGGAAUUUUGGACAAUGGGCGCAAGCCUGAUCCAGCCAUGCCGCGUGAGUGAAGAAGGCCUUCGGGUUGU
Molecule: ribosomal RNA, 397 nt
Filed under: uncultured bacterium
Lineage: Bacteria
Description: bacterial SSU rRNA
Rfam family: Bacterial small subunit ribosomal RNA
Source: RNAcentral